RNAcentral lists this unclassified non-coding RNA (329 nucleotides) under soil metagenome. RNAcentral describes it as "partial contains 5.8S ribosomal RNA, internal transcribed spacer 2, and large subunit ribosomal RNA". The stretch from base 1 to 120 matches the Rfam family "5.8S ribosomal RNA", at positions 35 to 154 of the family's 154-position model. The record is from RNAcentral.
GAUGAAGAACGUAGCGAAAUGCGAUAAGUAAUGUGAAUUGCAGAAUUCAGUGAAUCAUCGAAUCUUUGAACGCACAUUGCGCCCCUUGGUAUUCCGAGGGGCAUGCCUAUUCGAGGGUCAUUAUCACCCCUCAAGCCUAGCUUGGUGUUGAGGCCUGCUGUCAAGGCAGCCUCUAAAAUCAGUGGCAGUGCUGUCAGGCUCUAAGCGUAGUAAAUCUAAUCGCUAUAGACACCUGGUGGACACUCGCCAGAACCCCCCCAUUUUUUAAUGAUUGACCUCGGAUUAGGUAGGGAUACCCGCUGAACUUAAGCAUAUCAAUAAGCGGAGGA